Molecule: small nucleolar RNA, 96 nt
Filed under: Genlisea aurea
Lineage: Eukaryota; Viridiplantae; Streptophyta; Magnoliopsida; Lamiales; Lentibulariaceae
Description: Small nucleolar RNA R64/Z200 family
Rfam family: Small nucleolar RNA R64/Z200 family
About the family: This family of plant small nucleolar RNAs belong to the C/D class of snoRNA which contain the C (UGAUGA) and D (CUGA) box motifs. This family includes Arabidopsis thaliana snoRNA R64 and Oryza sativa snoRNAs Z200 and J16.
Source: Rfam by way of RNAcentral
CUUCUGCGGUGAUGAAAUUAAUUUUCGCAUGUCAGACUUCAGAGAUUUUUCAUUAAAUCAAUGAGAUGAAUAACUUCACUUUGACCUGAGCAGAAG